This 748-nucleotide ribosomal RNA is filed under the name uncultured bacterium. RNAcentral's name for it is "bacterial SSU rRNA". It matches the Rfam family "Bacterial small subunit ribosomal RNA", at positions 57 to 792 of the family's 1533-position model. The record is from RNAcentral.
GCAGUCGACGGCAGCAUGAUUCAGUUUACUGUAUUGAUGGCGAGUGGCGAACGGGUGAGUAACGCGUAGGAAUAUACCCUAGAGCGGGGGAUAACUUGGGGAAACUCAAGCUAAUACCGCAUAGACUCUGCGGAGUAAAGCUGGGGACCUUUUUGAGGCCUGGCACUUUAGGAAUAGCCUGCGUCUGAUUAGCUAGUUGGUGGGGUAAAGGCUUACCAAGGCGAUGAUCGGUAGCUGGUCUGAGAGGACGAACAGCCACACUGGGACUGAGACACGGCCCAGACUCCUACGGGAGGCAGCAGUGGGGAAUAUUGGACAAUGGGGGGAACCCUGAUCCAGCGAUGCCGCGUGUGUGAAGAAGGCCUGCGGGUUGUAAAGCACUUUCGGUUAGGAGGAAGCUAUUUGAGGUUAAGAGCUACGGGUAGUGACGUUACUGACAUAAGAAGCUCCGGCUAACUCCGUGCCAGCAGCCGCGGUAAUACGGAGGGUGCGAGCGUUAAUCGGAAUUACUGGGCGUAAAGGGUGCGUAGGUGGUUUAAUAAGUUAACUGUGAAAUACCUGGGCUUAACCUGGGGGUGUCAGUUAAGACUGUUAGACUCGAGUAUGGGAGAGGGUAGUGGAAUUUCCGGUGUAGCGGUGAAAUGCGUAGAUAUCGGAAGGAACACCGGUGGCGAAGGCGUCUACCUGGCCUAAUACUGACACUGAGGUACGAAAGCGUGGGUAGCAAACGGGAUUAGAUACCCUGGUA